CCUACGGGGAGCAGCAGUGGGGAAUAUUGGGCAAUGGGCGCAAGCCUGACCCAGCAACGCCGCGUGAAGGAAGAAGGCCCUCGGGUUGUAAACUUCUUUUGUCAGGGACGAAGAAAGUCACGGUACCUGACGAAUAAGCCACGGCUAACUACGGGCCAGCAACCGCGGGAAUACGUAGGUGGCAAGCGUUAGCCGGAUUUACUGGGUGGAAAGGGCGUGUAGGCGGGAGAGCAAGGCAGACGUGAAAUUCCAGGGCUCAAACCGGGAACUGCGUUUGAAACUGUUCUUCUUGAGUGAUGGAGAGGCAGGCGGAAUUCCGUGUGUAGCGGUGAAAUGCGUAGAUAUACGGAGGAACACCAGUGGCGAAGGCGGCCUGCUGGACAUUAACUGACGCUGAGGCGCGAAAGCGUGGGGAGCAAACAGGAUUAGAUACCCCAGUAGUC
RNAcentral lists this ribosomal RNA (443 nucleotides) under uncultured bacterium. Its description in RNAcentral is "partial 16S ribosomal RNA". It matches the Rfam family "Bacterial small subunit ribosomal RNA", at positions 338 to 795 of the family's 1533-position model. The record is from RNAcentral.